Long non-coding RNA from Plodia interpunctella (Indianmeal moth), 675 nucleotides. RefSeq lists it as uncharacterized. Lineage: Eukaryota; Metazoa; Arthropoda; Insecta; Lepidoptera; Pyralidae. The record is from RefSeq and is a predicted model, not a curated record. The transcript is spliced from 2 exons.
CCCUUACACACACACACCAUUUCAACUAGGUACCUAGAAGAAGUCCACAGCUGGACAUAGACCUCUCCCAAAGACUUCCACAAAGACUGAUUUAAAGCAACUUACAAUGAAUAGGUGCAGCUACCUACACAAAUACACACCACAGAGUACAUUUUUAUGUACUAAAAAUACACACCACUAAUAAAAAUGCGAACCGGCCUUAUUCUGUCAACAGUUAAAUAAAAACAUAACCUAACUUACCUAACCUCAUUUAUAUGGGCAGAUUUCUCUUGGUAUUUGUUUUGUCCAAAUAUUUACUUCUGCAAACUGCAUCCCAGAUCCCGGUCCAAGUGAACAGAAAAAGUUAUAAUGGGAAAGAAACGGAAGAUGAGAAUAUUAAAAAGAACACUGAAGAAUAACAAAAACAAUUUUAGCACCGUUCCAAAUAUUCAUGUAAUAUAUGAAUCAGUAACUGAUACAAAGCCUAGUCAAAAAUCGGAAGUCUUAGAUAAAAUCUGUAGCGGAUCUGAUUCUAUUGUUAACCUAACUGUUAAAAUAGAUGGAAAUAGAAAAGAUGAAGUUGUGUCCAAGAAAGUGAAAAAAAGAAAAAUGACCAAUACAGUUAACCCUCCUGAAAAAAUAUCGGAACCUCCUACACACAAAAGCAAGGUAACUGAAACGUCAGGUGAAAUUAUU